Molecule: unclassified non-coding RNA, 235 nt
Filed under: Hevea brasiliensis (rubber tree)
Lineage: Eukaryota; Viridiplantae; Streptophyta; Magnoliopsida; Malpighiales; Euphorbiaceae
Source: RNAcentral
GACUUGUACUUUUGAAGGACUCAGGUUAGUUUUACUUUAUUUGUGCAUAUGUAAGUAUGUAUAUGCACGCAAACAGGAGAUACACUGCAGUAUUUUGUUAUCAAAAAAGUUGCUCUUUUCAUUGGUUGGCUUACUUCACAGUGUAAUAGACUUUUUGUGUGUUAGGGAUCAGGAUAUCUUAUUAUUCAGGAACUUUUGUUAUUACUUAUAGUUGCAUGGAAAUAUGUUGAUGAAU